UUUAACUGUAUUAUUACUUCAUCUCUCCCUAAUAAUAAACCACGCAUUGCUUCUGGUCGUACGUUGUCGGUGCUUUUGCAUAAAAGUCCCUUCGUUUUUUAGAAGUUAACCCACAGUCCUCCUAAUAUGUCAAACCGAACCGGUACGGGCGAUGGAAAAGGAAAAAAACACGCUUACCUCCCCCAUCUCCACCUCCAGCGCGCCGCCGCAGUCGGUCCUCACCCGUCCGCCGCACGCCGCCACCGCCCCUCCGCCGUGCGCCAUCCCCACCCCUGCGGCUUUCCACCACAGGCGACACUCGACGCCGGCGCCGCACCUUCCCCCAACUCCUCUCUCUCCUCCUCCUUCGCCGUCACCGCUCUUCAUCAGCCAGCAGACUCCGUCGAAAUGGCAGGCGGCGCUGGAGUUCACCGGAACGGGUAGGCGGCCGGCGGGCGGAGCGAGGAAGAUGGCGGAUCCGGGCGCGGCGUCGAGGGUUCAGGCGGCUGGUGCGGCAGCUUGCUCCGAUGGCGACGGUGUCCUGCUCAUCCAGAGAAAGAGAGAGACAUGGCGUGAGGGAGAGAGGAAAGAUAGGAAGAAAUGAGAAGGAGAAGGGGCGCAGGGCGAGGGAGGCAGUCGCCGGCGGUGGCGCCGCUCUGCCGCUGCAUCUCUCUUCCCCCACGUCCCUACUGCUGCUCCUCUAACUCCAUCUCUCUGCUGUCGAUUCUCUGUCCGCUGCUACCUCUCCUCUAUGCUCCUUGCUGCCUGUGGCUGUCCCAUCUCUCCUAGCGCUGCUGCUGCUGCACUUCUUCUGAAGCUCUUCUCAAACCCGUUGAUGCAGUUCUUCUCUGAACUCCAACCUGCUGCUGCUUCUCUCUCUCUCAAUUUUUCUGUAAUUCUGUGAACCAUUGUUGAGCGAUUAUAUGAUUUGUGGUAUUUGCUUGAGUGAACCUGUAAGGUUUGUACCUUCUGGAAAGUGCUAGCACCUACAUAUUAUCCAAUUUUUUCUAAAUGUCAUGAGGCAUGAGCCAUAAUUUUUCUCAAGAACGACCCUUGGUAUAUGUAAGGCAUGCAUACAAUUUGAAUAACACUCUUUUUGCUCUCAUUUAUCUGUUGGCAUAGAGCAUCGUAUAAUAUAGAAGAGUCAUUCAAAAUAUUGGUUGCCUGAUUUAUUCAUAAGAAGAUUCUUCUAUGUAUUUAGUUACAUGAUUUUAAUUUGAUCGUCUUCUUUCAACUUUUUUUUGCUGAGUAUGAUAUUUCCUUAGGUUCACCUUGACCUUCACUGCUCUUGUGUAAAAGCUUAAGUAAAUUGAUGUUGUAUCAUCAGAAUCUGUACCCUUGCACAGUUUUUUUUGUCUGUACAUACACUUUAAUUUCUUGCUCGCACUGAAAUCCCUCUUUGUCACAGGAUGAAUCAGAAACUGAAGAUGAUGAUCCCAUGGACACAGAAGAAGCUUCCUCUGUCCUCAUCGCUGCACUGCAGUCUUUCAGCCAAGCUCUGGUGAACUUUGAAAUCCAGUUUAGAGAAUUGCUCAUGACUUGACAUAAAUCAUUCUUAUGAGCACAUCGUUUGAUUCUAUUACUAGGUCCGUCAACUUCAACUACCAUGUGGAAGUGGAACUAUUGUUGUCUGUCAGUUAAGACAGUCGGGAACUUGGUGUUGUCAUUCCUGGCUAUUGUAUUAGGAUACUAGCAGCACUUACAUGCAAAUAUGCUUGUGAUUCUAACGAUAGUACACUAGGUGAUUGAUGUGUGGGUCGCUCAAGUCCUGUGGGGUGCUGGGCGAAAGGUGUUCCAUAUACAUGAACCAUAAACUGGAAUUGAAAUUAUUCUCCGCACGCACAAGUAAAACCUAUGCAAAGUGAACAAUCUCACGGUUGCAGCUUAUAUUCAGUACUUCUUCAUUACAACUGUCGGUUUCAAAGCAUUUUCUUUCUCUAAUUCUGCAACUUUAUAAACUGCAACUCAGUUUUGCUCACAAAUGUUUUGCUCCUCAUAAAACUAAUUUUCUACUAACUGAUUUUCGUAUUUCCAUUAUAGCUUAUUCAUUACCAUGGUCAAGGAAUUAUCAGCGUUUUUUCUGACUUGGUCAACUUACCCUUGCAGUAAUCUGCCAUAAAAGAUAGAAUGUAAGAAAGGGUCUACUUUAGCAGUUGAGAUCAAAGAUGCUACUCCAAGCUAUAUAUGAAACCAAAUCAGGUGGGCUCGAUGACAAAGAGGUAAUAAGAGAUGAACCCUUCCAGUAUAAAAAGUUGAUGGUCCUAAUUAGUUUAUGGCUUAUUUCUUGAUCGCUUUAAUUUACACGACAUCUCCAGGGCUUUUCAUGUUGUGUGGUAAUAUAUUUGAUUAUAGUCACAGCUUACGCAAGAUGAUUAUUUACGUUCCUAAUUUAUCUUCCUCUAUCAUGGUGGUAGGGAAAUAUCGCCGUUAGUUUGCCUGAGAUAGAAGGACUUCACAUAAUUUUGUCAAUAGCAUUGAUCAGGAUAUCUUUUUUCUUAUUCCUUUCUAUUUGUAGACAAGGAAGAACCAAUAGAGACUUCGAUCCUUACACUGUAGCAGUACCUGAAGCAGAGCAAACCGCUAUCUCAAAUUUAAUAGUAGAUGGAAAGGAAUGGUUGUUUUUGUUGCAGGUUACUCCAAGAACAAGUGCAUUAUCAAGCUAGAUGGUUUAUAUUAUCCGUCCAUAAUCUGGAUGCUUGUGUAUCCUGCGACUUGGUUCAUCCAGGAGAUAUUUGUGUUCAAACACAAGUGUGGGCUGCUUGCAGGGUAGAGCAUAAUUGGAUUUUAAAGCCAUUUAUAAUGUCCUGCAAAACUAUAAGUUUGAACAAAGAAACCACUUCAACUAGCCUAGGGCUAUGUCUAUUAGUCCUCCAGUAUUUCUUGGAAUGAGAUAACACAUGUUUCUUCAAGUGUCUACACACUACAUGAAGUAAGUUUCUUAUAGAAGUAGUCAAACCUGGAUACCAAUUUAUUGGAACAUUAUAUUUCUUAUAGAAGUAGUCAAACAACGAUAUCAAUUUAUUGGAACCAUCAAGGAAGAGACACUCCCGGAGGGUCAGAAGUAAUGCAAUAUAUUCUCCCUCUUAUGCCUAUUUGAAAUACAGUUGUAGGGUUGUCCUUUGCCACUCAUAUUGCAGUACUCAACUGUAGCAUGGAUGGAGCAGGAAAGUGUGCUAAACCUUCUAACAUGGACACUGCACUUGUAUGAGCUACGGGCCACUAUUGUUUGUCAUAUGGAUUGUAGAUGUAGUGGUAAUGUACCACAUUUUUCUUUUAGUAAGGAUGAUAUGUUAUACGGAGUAUAACAAUCUGGUUGCCGUGACCUUCCUAUUGUCCGUAGAGCCAGAAGAAAAAUAGAAUAAAAAUUUUCAUUAGACAAAUAAUAGAAUUGGUGAUUGAAUAUCACAUGGCUGUAAUUUUAUAUCUAUGUGGGAGCUUGACGUAAGAGUACAUGCAGAGUAUACAAGUGAAAGACAUUAUUUAUUUACAGGCGUUAUUACCAGAGUUUUUUUU
Molecule: long non-coding RNA, 3492 nt
Organism: Aegilops tauschii subsp. strangulata
Lineage: Eukaryota; Viridiplantae; Streptophyta; Magnoliopsida; Poales; Poaceae
Source: RefSeq, a predicted model, not a curated record